GGCUGGCCCAAAGGCAGUGAGUUACCUCAGUUGAUUACCCACAGUCAGCGACAGAUUGAAGCCCUUGUUCUACUCUUUCCCCAUGGCUCACUGCUGCACGUGACUAAUCUUUA
This is an unclassified non-coding RNA of Aotus nancymaae (Ma's night monkey), 113 nucleotides long. It matches the Rfam family "Y RNA". Rfam says of the family: Y RNAs are components of the Ro ribonucleoprotein particle (Ro RNP), in association with Ro60 and La proteins. The Y RNAs and Ro60 and La proteins are well conserved, but the function of the Ro RNP is not known. In humans the RNA component can be one of four small RNAs -- hY1, hY3, hY4 and hY5. The record is from Ensembl. Lineage: Eukaryota; Metazoa; Chordata; Mammalia; Primates; Aotidae.